AACGCACAUUGCGCCCCUUGGUAUUCCGGGGGGCAUGCCUGUUCGAGCGUCAUUUCAACCCUCAAGCUUAGCUUGGUAUUGGGCAUCGUCGGUAACACGACGGGCCUUAAAAUCAGUGGCGGCGCCGUUGGGUCCUGAACGUAGUAAUAUAUUUCGUUACAGGUACCUCGCGUGCUUCUGCCAUUAAACCCCCAAUUUUUUAUGGUUGACCUCGGAUCAGGUAGGGAUACCCGCUGAACUUAA
RNAcentral lists this unclassified non-coding RNA (243 nucleotides) under uncultured Rutstroemiaceae. RNAcentral's name for it is "sequence contains ITS2". Lineage: Eukaryota; Fungi; Ascomycota; Leotiomycetes; Helotiales; Rutstroemiaceae. The record is from RNAcentral.